ACCACCUUGGAAUUGCCCAUUUUCCAGAUGAUCAAAUGAGGUUUCUGGAGGUGAAGUGACUCUUCCAUCUCCCAGAGCAGCAGCUCCCAGCCAGAGUCGGCUCUGCCUGCACCCAAGACCUUGGCAAAGCAACCAGAGCCAGAAAGAACCACGAGAGAAGCUUUCAAUGACUUUCAGCCACUUUGUCCCCCUUUGUUUCUCUUCUCCUCUCCUGCAUUUUUCUCCAUCUCCAGGUACAGUUCAGGAUGUGGAUGCCUGUCCCCACACAAAAACACUUGGGAUUCAUUCCUCAUACCACAAUUCAUCCCGAUUUUCCCCCCUUUAAAGUCAGAUCUCACCUACCUGUUUGGUCAGAGAUGUGUGUUUUAAAAUCCCCAAGGAAGGAGGCAGGGACUGUGCCCUGAGAUGAUUGUUGGUGAAGUGGAUUUAUGCCUAAUUUCAGUUUAAGAGAAUGUUGCUGUGUCUCUGCCUAGGACAGGCAGCCCGCUGUGGCCCUGGGUGAUGAGGAAAGGCCACAGAGGCCCAGGGUUUUAUCACCUGUGGCUGCCAGUGUCUGCAGAGCCAGAAUUGAGCUAAUCCAUGAAAGAAUGAGCGCUGGUGGGCAGUUGUAUGGCAGGUUGCUAUGGGGCUUCUUGAUCUCUCAAAUUCCAGGUGACAAGAUCAAUGCAUCCUUGAGGGGCCCCUUCCCAGCAGGCUCUGGUGGCUACAAACUGGUUCAGGUGUGGAAGAUCAUACCACUUUACCUUUGGUUUUUCUUUGAAAAGCAAACAACGAAAGACAGAUGAAAACAAGAAUUCUACCCGUGGGCAGGCAAGAAUUCUCUUCGGGAAAAGGGAUGUUUGUGGCUCUUCCACACAUUGGCCUUGAAAGAGGUUGUUUGCAGAGUGGCUAUUAUUAAAAUGUCCAAAAAAUAGAAAAUGCUGGUGAGGCUGCAGAGGAAAGGGAAUGCUUAUACACUGUUGGCCAGAGUGUAAAUUAGUUCAUGGAAAAAUUAUAAAGAAAGCAGUUUGGAGAUUUCUGAAAUAAUUUAAAACAGAACUACCAUUCCACCCAGCAAUUCCUUUACUGGGCAUUUACCCAAAGGAAAAUAAUUGUUCUGCCAAAAAUACACAUGCUCUUGCAUGUCCAUCACAGCAGUAUUCACAAUAGCAAAGCCAUGGAAUGAACCUAGGUGGCCAUCAGCGGUAGACUGGAUAAAGGAAAUGUGGUACAUAUACACCAUGGAAUACUAUGCAGCCAUGAAAAGAAUGAAAUCAUGUCCUUUGCAGCAACAUGGAUGGAGCUGGAGACCAUAAUCCUAAGCAAAUUAACAUAGGAAUGGAAAACCAAAUAUCAUAUUCUCAUGUAUAAGUGGGAGCUGAGCACUGGGUACACAUGGAUGUAAGACGGGAACAGUAGACACUGCAACUACUAGAGGGAAGAGAGAAGGAGGGUGGAAAGGGCUGAAAAACUACCUAUUGGGUACUGUGCUCACUGCCUGAGUGACGAGAUCAUUUGUGCCCCAAACCUCAGCAUCACACAAUAUACCCGUGUAACAAACCUACACGUGUACCCCCUGAAUCUAAAAUAAAAGUUGAAAUAAUUUUUUUAAAACAUAGGGCCUGGGCCAGAAGCGGUGGCUCAUGCCUGUAAUCCCAGCACUUUGCAUCACUUGAGGUCAGGAGUUCAAAACCAGCCUUGCCAACAUGGUGAAACCCUGUCUCUACUAAAAACACACACACAAAAAAUUAGCUGGGCACGGUGGUGCACGCCUGUAAUCCCAGCUACUUGGGAGGCUGAAUCACUUGAGCCCUGGAGGCGGAGGUUAUAGUGAGCAGAGAUCAUGCCAUGGCAUUCCAGCCUGGCUGUAGUUGAGCCAGAAGGAGAUAUUUUGUGUGAAGGCUGAGGUGGGGGCUCUUCAGAGCCUCUGUGAGCAGGAGGCCUAAGCCGUGGUGGUGGACAGAGUUGUAGCUUUCUGCCUCUUUGCCCUUUGGCAUGGACCCACAGGUGAACAGUACCAGCCUCCAUCCCCAGCACACGCUCUGCAGACCUUCACGUCUCACAGUUCCAUGUGAGCAAAUGGACUGGGAAAGCUGUGUGGCCUGAGAAAAGGCAAUGCCAUGGCCUGGCUCUCACACAGUAUUUUGUCUUGGAUUUUGAAAAAGCCUUUUUUUUUUUAAAUUUAAUUUAAUUUUUUUUUUUUUUUUUUUGCUUGUUUUGUGUUUUUGGUGGUGGUGGUGGUGGUGGUUUAUUUCACACUGACCACUUGGAACAAAUCCCAUGGUUAUCUGUGAUUUUCAUGCCCUGUUUCUGCUGGCAACCCUUCUGAGUGGGGUGACUCACUUUCCUGUAUAAAGAGUUUGAGUAGCCCAGGUAGGAGGUGGAAGCAGCCAUCUGGAAGGCCAUUGGGAUCCUUAUGUCUGUCUCUUGGCUUCAGAUAACCAGCUGGGCUUUGAUAGGAAUGAUCUGAAUGGAGACAGAAAACAGUGAAAACUAACGCUCCCCGCCCAGCCCUGUUUAUAUGAAGCAUUUGGUUCCUCUCUUGACUCUUGAGUGAUGAUGAGAUUCAGACGAGGCAUUGACAUUAUGGUAAGAAAGGGAGAAAAUGUAUCUGUCUUGUCUGUCUAUCUAUCUACUGGAUAUAUAGCUCCAAAAGCAGACAAACCCAAGGCCGUAAGGUGAACUAGGGUCUGCGUUUGGACUCCAUGAAAACAAAAUCCAUGUUGAACAAAGUGAUGUUUGUAUGCAGUGACAUUCUGGGUGACCCGUGUGUAUCUGUCCAUCGUGUGCAAGCCCUGAGCCCUGUUUCCCUCGGAAGAUAGUGAGUGGUAGCCAUCUCCUCACACGAACCACACAUGUGGAGCACAGAUGGCCCUCUCAAGGUAAUUGAUCUUACACAUUUACUGUUCACCAAACAAGUGUCUGAUGCAUACUUGGGUAUAUUCCACAGCAUGUGGACUGCGGUCCCCUGUGUUUGCCAGGAAUGCUGUGCUCCAUGUAGAGGUUUUCCUCUACUCCUCACUGCAAUUUGCAUGCUGCUCCAUGGACACUUGGAGGCCUGUGCUCUGUUCCCUGUAACUGGAAAUGUGCUCUGAACUUGUCUGUCUCCCUUGGCUGCUCCUGGCCCUUGGUACCAGCUCCCAUGGGUGUCCACAACCACUUGGGACAGAAGGUAAAGGUGGAAUUUCAAAGAGAAGCUUGCUUGGAUCUUCAGUGACAAGCUUGGAUGAGCUACAUCCCUAACAUGGGCCCUCUCAGAAUUGCCAGGAGGAGGCUUUGGCAGGUGUCACAGGUGUCACGGGGCCUGCCCUCCUCUGCUGCGUGCAGUGGAUGCAAGCCAGCCAACGUGUGGCCAGAGUGGCUGGAUGGUGUCACAGCCCUCAGAUGUCUUUCCUUCCACGUUUUUAAAAGAGUCCCAAAUAACUCACUUGAAGUGUCUCAAAGGUCAGAGUGGGGAGCUGGUGUUAGCUGUGGGAUUCACUGCAGCGUCCUACCACAAAGGCAAAGAAGAUGAAAAUGCAGCGUGCAGUGCUGGGCUUGAUUCCCAAGUCGCAGUCGGGCUCCCGCUAUGGUAGGUGGAACAUCUCUCUAGCCUGCUCACAGAGAUGGAACUAGGGAAUUGAGGGAAGAGUUAGGGGGCCAGGGAGAUUUACUUGAGUCUGAUUUUCCAGGUGAAUGAGAAGGGAGGGCUUGGUGCUGACACAUUCUUGGGAGAGGCAUGUCAUCACCAACAGCAUUUGUCAUGAUUGUUGUAUUUUAGCAAUAAGAUUCAGCUCGUCAGAUUUUUUGGGCCACCUCGAAGAUGCUGACACAUUUUCUGUGCUGUGAUUGUUCGAAGGCAGAGUAGCUCUAACCACUGUGAGAAGCCCAAAGAAAAAUCAAUACCACCCACCCAAAGACCACCUUUCUGAAACACUUUUCUCUAGAAAACAGUGCCCCUUUUGUCCUAAGCUUCGUAUUAUUUUUGGAUUCCAUCUCUUUGUAUAUGCUACUCUAGUGUACCAUGGAACACAUUUUGGGAGCUGGCGGCUCUGCUUACCCUUCAGGGGGACAGCCCUGUCUGACCUGAGAUUGGAGGAUGCUUUCCAGUGUGAAGGAGUGUGAGGGAGCCGGCACAGACACAGAGUGAGAGCAGGGCCACUUUAUUGGUAUAGAGACUGCAGAGGGACCGGGGGCUUUAGCUGUUGGCAGCGAUGGUG
Molecule: long non-coding RNA, 4178 nt
Filed under: Homo sapiens (human)
Lineage: Eukaryota; Metazoa; Chordata; Mammalia; Primates; Hominidae
Description: HSALNT0148308
Source: RNAcentral